RNAcentral lists this long non-coding RNA (535 nucleotides) under Sinocyclocheilus grahami. RNAcentral's name for it is "lncRNA (ENSSGRG00000039481.1)". Lineage: Eukaryota; Metazoa; Chordata; Actinopteri; Cypriniformes; Cyprinidae. The record is from RNAcentral.
CUCCUGAAACUAUUUAAUUUCUCUCGCAAAAAAUUUAUGUUUACCUUUCUGUCUUGACAGGCAGACGGGAAGAUGACUUAUUAUACAAACACAUUGAGCAACGAGUCCUUGGGGUUAAUCAACCAAUUAAUCAUCUCGCAGCCAGCGACAACAGUGACACAACUUCGGGAACGGCACAAGGGAAGAACAACGACUUCUGAUUGGCUGUCACAAAUGAUGCAUUGUUGGUAUACCGGCUUAGGGGACCAGAGAGACACUUGUUUUCUUCGGCCUUUGAUGCCAUGGACAUUGCCUCUUCUCCUGCCUCUAGGCUGACCAUGACAAACUGUUCUGUUUUUAUGUGCAUCCAUUUCACAGGGGAAUACAUGGAUUUACCUACUAUUUUAUGUUCUCUGCGAGCCCUACUGCGCCGCUGCCACAGCAAACUCUGGCCCCUCAGGUUACCCACAAUGCUCUGAGGCAUCUUAAAGGGGAAGGAUCAGGCUCUGAUCAGAUGCCAUGAGGUCAGUGGCAUGUCACAGUGAAAAUAUCCCCC